RNAcentral lists this ribosomal RNA (253 nucleotides) under uncultured bacterium. RNAcentral's name for it is "partial 16S ribosomal RNA". It matches the Rfam family "Bacterial small subunit ribosomal RNA", at positions 524 to 776 of the family's 1533-position model. The record is from RNAcentral.
UACGUAGGGGGCAAGCGUUGUCCGGAAUCAUUGGGCGUAAAGAGCGUGUAGGCGGUCCGGUCAGUCGGUUGUGAGAGUCAAGGGCUCAACUCUUGAAUGCCGGCCGAUACUGCCGGGCUAGAGUCCGGAAGAGGUGAGUGGAAUUCCUGGUGUAGCGGUGAAAUGCGCAGAUAUCAGGAGGAACACCGAUGGCGAAGGCAGCUCACUGGGACGGUACUGACGCUGAGACGCGAAAGCGUGGGGAGCAAACAGG